This is a long non-coding RNA of Xenopus laevis (African clawed frog), 286 nucleotides long. RefSeq lists it as uncharacterized. NCBI's taxonomy places the organism in Eukaryota, Metazoa, Chordata, Amphibia, Anura, Pipidae. The record is from RefSeq and is a predicted model, not a curated record. The transcript is spliced from 3 exons.
GAGAUCUCAAGCCGGAAACCUGCUCUUAGACAGCAACGGGUACAUCAAACUGGCUGAUUUCGGACUAUGCAAAGACGGAAUUGGCUAUGGGGACAGAACACGCAGCCUGACUGGAACCUAUGACUACAUGGCUCCGAAGUCCUCUCCAGGCUGCCGUAUUCAAGAUCUGCAGAUUGGUGGUCUCUGGGCAUCGUGAUCUUCGAGAUGCUAGUCGGGGACCUACCAUGGAUGAGACCAUCUAUUGGCGUCGUCUGCCCAAAGUUCCUGGCUGAGGAUGCAGCUAUUU